AUGAGUUCAGCAGCUAGUUGCUGGUGCAAAACCUUAGCCAGUCCCUGCAGAAUCGCCGAAUGGGAAAUGGCGUUCCCAAGGAGUCCUGCUUCCACCGUGAGCAGCUAUGCUUCUACUCCGACGCUGAGUAGCUGCCCCAGCUCCUCCAUCUCCACAGGCUGCAGCACCCCUGCCACCCCAAACCCCUUUGCCGUCGCGGCAAUAAGCCCCGCCGCAAUCCAGCACAUAGUUCAAGCCGGAUGUGCCGGUGAUCACAAGCCGGCGCUAGCAGCCACAGGAACUCCUGAAUUCACACAGGGAAAGAAGCUUCAGCAGCAUCAGGAUCACAAGCUGGCGCUAGCAGCCACAGGAAUUCCUGAAUUCACACAGGGAAAGAAGCUUCCGCAGCAUCAGGAUCUUCCGGAAUCAGCAGCGAAGUUUCCCAAGGAAGAAAACCCAGCACUAGCAAUCACAGGAGGUACGGAAUUCAUACAGGGAAAGAAGCUUCAGCAGCAUGAGGAUCUUCUUGAAUCAGCAGCGAAGUUCCCUACGCAAGAAAUCAAUGGCUGGGAGCAUCCAGACCUCUGUUCACCAUCAAAGCUGCUCAAGAACCACUUUACUUCUAUCAAGGAGAUCAGUCGCUGGGCAAGAUCUUCAAUGGGGUCAAAGGUGAACUCAAAUAUCCGGCUCUUGGAGUCUGUAUUUUCUUUGAUACAAGUGGUAACCUCGACAGCACCACACCCAGAUCACGUCGUGGCCAUGAUACGAGUCCACGAAGCGCUUGCUAACCUGUUGCUGGUCCUGCCCAAGAAUAUAUUCCCUUUCCUGUUGCAACAUUUCGCUCAGUUUGUCGAUGAAUUAUGCCCGAAAAGAGGUGCAUCACUAUCAGAAAGGUUUGGAAACGCACUGCAUGAUUUGCGAAGAAGCAUAAGGAGUGGUCUUCGGGUACUCAAAGACAUGAUCUUUGACUAUAAAUCUGACGUAGUCCCCCAAGGUGGCGGUAUCCAUGAGAUCACCAGAUACUUGUUAAAAUACAUCAUGUCACUUCUGGACAAUGGCACCUCUCUCAAGAUCAUACUUGUUGGUGAUGAACAGGAUGACAAGGUUGCAAUGGAGACGCUGCAAGAUACUGUUGCUACCUUGAUCUCUCACAUGGAAAUUAUGCUUGAGAAAGAAUCUCAUCGAUAUAAAGAUGCAGGGUUGAAACAAAUGUUCAUGGUGAAUAAUGUGAACUUUUUGUUGCAUCAAGUAGAAGGCUCAGAGAUAAGGCAUCUUCUAGGAGAAGAUUGGGUUCUGAAGCACCAAGACCAACUAAAGGACCACAUCUCAUCGUUCAUCAACAUUUCUUGGGAAUCUGUCAUGUAUUGCUUCCAUGUAAAGACCAACAAAAUCCCAAUCUUUUCUAGCCUACCAACACUGCAAAUAUUUAACAUGGAAUUUGAGAAAACUUACUGGACUCAGAAGACGUGGAAAGUUGAAAAUCCUCUGCUCCGGUCCAACAUGCGUAAAUCAGUAUCAGAGAAGCUUGUUCAGGCUUACAGUGCAUACCUUGAGAAUCACAAAAACAAGUAUCAAAGGCUUAUGAAGUACACCACCGAAGAUCUUGAAGAGCUGCUGUCAGAUCUGUUUGAAGGAUAA
RNAcentral lists this ribosomal RNA (1617 nucleotides) under Triticum aestivum (bread wheat). RNAcentral's name for it is "partial small subunit ribosomal RNA". Lineage: Eukaryota; Viridiplantae; Streptophyta; Magnoliopsida; Poales; Poaceae. The record is from RNAcentral.